UACGAACCGUGCGAACGUUGUUCGGAAUCACUGGGCUUAAAGGGCGCGUAGGCGGCUCCGCAAGUCAGGGGUGAAAGCCCCCAGCUCAACUGGGGAAGUGCCUCUGAUACUGUGGAGCUCGAGCGAGGUAGGGGCAGCGGGAACUUCCGGUGGAGCGGUGAAAUGCGUUGAUAUCGGAAGGAACGCCGGUGGCGAAAGCGCGCUGCUGGACCUCUCCUGACGCUGAGGCGCGAAAGCCAGGGGAGCAAACGGG
This 253-nucleotide ribosomal RNA is filed under the name uncultured bacterium. RNAcentral describes it as "partial 16S ribosomal RNA". It matches the Rfam family "Bacterial small subunit ribosomal RNA", at positions 524 to 776 of the family's 1533-position model. The record is from RNAcentral.